This 98-nucleotide ribosomal RNA is filed under the name Bacillota bacterium. RNAcentral describes it as "Firmicutes bacterium (anaerobic digester metagenome) partial 16S ribosomal RNA". It matches the Rfam family "Bacterial small subunit ribosomal RNA", at positions 1 to 95 of the family's 1533-position model. The record is from RNAcentral. Lineage: Bacteria; Bacillati; Bacillota.
UAAACUGGAGAGUUUGAUCCUGGCUCAGGACGAACGCUGGCGGCGUGCCUAACACAUGCAAGUCGAACGGCCCAGCACUCAAGCUUGCUUGGGUGCUG